UACGUAGGGGGCAAGCGUUGUCCGGAAUUAUUGGGCGUAAAGAGCACGUAGGCGGUUAGAUAAGUUGGAUGUGAAAGGCUACGGCUCAACCGUAGAGCGGCAUCCAAAACUGUUUAACUUGAGUGCAGCAGAGGAGAGUGGAAUUCCCGGUGUAGCGGUGGAAUGCGUAGAGAUCGGGAGGAACACCAGUGGCGAAGGCGACUCUCUGGGCUGCAACUGACGCUGAGGUGCGAAAGCGUGGGGAGCGAACAGG
RNAcentral lists this ribosomal RNA (253 nucleotides) under uncultured bacterium. RNAcentral's name for it is "partial 16S ribosomal RNA". It matches the Rfam family "Bacterial small subunit ribosomal RNA", at positions 524 to 776 of the family's 1533-position model. The record is from RNAcentral.